UGGGGAAUAUUGCGCAAUGGGCGAAAGCCUGACGCAGCAACACCGCGUGAGGGAUGACGGCCUUCGGGUUGUAAACCUCUUUCAGCUCCGACGAAGCGAAAGUGACGGUAGGAGCAGAAGAAGUCCCGGCUAACUCCGUGCCAGCAGCCGCGGUAAUACGUAGGGUGCAAGCGUUGUCCGGAAUUAUUGGGCGUAAAGAGCUCGUAGGCGGUCCGUUGCGUCUGCCGUGAAAACCCGGAGCUCAACUCCGGGCCUGCGGUGGAUACGGGCGGACUAGAGUCCGGUAGGGGAGACUGGAAUUCCUGGUGUAGCGGUGGAAUGCGCAGAUAUCAGGAGGAACACCGGUGGCGAAGGCGGGUCUCUGGGCCGGAACUGACGCUGAGGAGCGAAAGCGUGGGGAGCGAACAGGAUUAGAUACCCUGGUAGUCCACACCGUAAACGAUGAAUGCCAGUCGUCGGGUAGCAUGCUAUUCGGUGACACACCUAACGGAUUAAGCAUUCCGCCUGGGGAGUACGGUCGCAGA
RNAcentral lists this ribosomal RNA (524 nucleotides) under uncultured bacterium. RNAcentral's name for it is "bacterial SSU rRNA". It matches the Rfam family "Bacterial small subunit ribosomal RNA", at positions 355 to 893 of the family's 1533-position model. The record is from RNAcentral.